CCAAUUCACUGCUUUUUCAUAGGAUGGAUAGAAUCCAGAUGUCUGUGUAACUAAAUCCGAAUUAAGCAGAGGUCCAGCAGCUGAUAAAUGUUCAUCUGCCAAGGAGAAGUGCCCAGGAACCUGCAAAACCACCAGGCUUGGAGAGAAUCCCAGCAGGUUUCAGCUCUGCUUUGCUUUUGUGCUGCCAGUGCCCAUCAGGCAGACAGGAGGUCCACAGAGCACUGCAGGCAUUGAUGACGGAGCACUGCCAGAAGCGACUGCAAUUUUGUGCCUGUGCUGCUUCUCUUGAUGAGACCUGGGAAAAGGGGGCGAGAAAUAUGUUUUUGUGAGGUUAUCACUGUUACUGCCUAAGAACACGAUUACCAAAAUACUUCUACUUCCUCUAUUUCCCCUUUUGUGCUCAUGCACGGAUGUUGCUACUGAUAUUCCCUGAACUCCCCUGAAAAAUAAAGAGUGUUUUAUCCGUAUUCCCCAAGUGCCCAAUACAAAUGC
RNAcentral lists this long non-coding RNA (492 nucleotides) under Taeniopygia guttata (zebra finch). RNAcentral's name for it is "lncRNA (ENSTGUG00000023195.1)". Lineage: Eukaryota; Metazoa; Chordata; Aves; Passeriformes; Estrildidae. The record is from RNAcentral.